This 1080-nucleotide long non-coding RNA is filed under the name Felis catus (domestic cat). Its description in RNAcentral is "lncRNA (ENSFCAG00000047295.1)". The record is from RNAcentral. Lineage: Eukaryota; Metazoa; Chordata; Mammalia; Carnivora; Felidae.
AUGUCCCCCUGCUGUGGCCGCUCCUCCCGAGGCCACCCCUGCAGGCACUCUGUGGUACCAGGUUUUCCCAAACAUACUCCUGAGGGGAGGCCUGCACAGCCCCAGGUGCCCUCCGGGGGCCCUGCGAGACCCCACCCCCUGCCCAGGGCCUGGGCCUCCCCCUGCCCUCCUUUGCCAGCAUCCAGGGUAGGGGCCCCCCGUCCUGCAAACUCGCGGCAGAGCAGUGAGUGGGGGGUCCUCCUCGGGUCCCCCCUUCAGCAUGUGGCCAGAGGGGGCAAAGUUCAGAGAGGCACGUGGCCGGGGCGCGGGGGGCAAGGACACCCGGCUCAGGGGUCCCGAACAGACCCGGUUCGGCCGCUCGCCGCUCACAACAUCCAAAGGCAGAGGCCGGGUGGUGGUGGUGACACAGAGGCUGUUUCAGCGAGGCGAGCUCUGGGAGGACGGCGGGCCCGCGUCUCAAGAACGGUCUCCUCAGUGCUGAGACUGGCUGGUUUCUGUAGGGAGAUGGGGCGAGUGGGUGGGCAUGGGCCAGUGGGCGGCGAGGGUCGGGUGGGUGCCAUCUGCCAUCUCGGGGCGGUCAGAAGUCUCGCUGACUCCCAGCAGGCUUGUGCUGGAGACAUAGUUUCCGUCCCCAUCAGGGGAUGCUGCCCCGGGGGUUUCUGCCCGAUGAGAGGCCAGCUGGAAAGAACUUCACCAAUUAGAAGGUACAGACGAGGUCAGAACAGAGGUGGCCAAAGUCCUCGUUCAGACAGAGGGGGGUGGGCUAUGCCUCGGGCACCGGGCACUGCGCCCUCCCUGCAGGAGAGGCUCUGUAUCACAGUCCCAUUUUAUAGACAAGAGGCCAAGGCUCCAGGAGCAGCCUCUGAGGGCCUGCCUGGGGUCUCGCAGCAGGGGACCCGCCUGUCUCCAGAGCCACAUUUCCCCAGAGCGAGUGUGGGAAGUGCAAGGGACAGCCCUGGGUCACCUGCAGGGCAGGGGACUGGCACCCACCAUCUGGGUCCCUCCAGACUGAAAGUGGAGGCCUCCAGGGGGCGGGGCCCAGGCCCAUUGUCCCUGUCCCUCUGCCUACUGACUGUCUGA